RNAcentral lists this non-coding RNA (19 nucleotides) under Arabidopsis thaliana (thale cress). The record is from RNAcentral. Lineage: Eukaryota; Viridiplantae; Streptophyta; Magnoliopsida; Brassicales; Brassicaceae.
GGAGAAGAGGUCUGAUUGU